AUGCAAUUAUUCAUUAAGGUAUCGUUUUGUUCGGGGAUAAAUAAAACGUGGCUAUUCCAAAUAUAGAUAUAAAUUGAGGUAUAAACGGAGAUUAGAUCAAUUUUGCGUUUGGAUGAAAAUUGGACUAUUUCUGGGAAUAAAAAAAAUAUCGUUUGGUUAGGUAAAAUGGAAUAAGAAUUAAAGUCAGUAGUUAUAAAUAAAAAAUAAUGAUAUUAUUCUUUUCUUUAUAUUAGAAUUUAAAUUUUUAUAUUUUAUAUUAAAUUUAAUAAAAAUAAUUUAUUAUAAUAUUUAAAUAUAAUUUACUAUAAAAUUCUUUAUAAUAUUUAAAUAUAAAUAAUAUGUAUUAAUAUAGUACAAUUAAUAAUUUUAUAAUAAAAAUAAUGUAUUAUAAUAUAGAACAUAUUAUAUUUAUAUAAUUUAGUUUNAUUAUUCAUUAAGGUAUCGUUUUGUUCGGGGAUAAAUAAAACGUGGCUAUUCCAAAUAUAGAUAUAAAUUGAGGUAUAAACGGAGAUUAGAUCAAUUUUGCGUUUGGAUGAAAAUUGGACUAUUUCUGGGAAUAAAAAAAAUAUCGUUUGGUUAGGUAAAAUGGAAUAAGAAUUAAAGUCAGUAGUUAUAAAUAAAGAUGAAAUUUAUUAUUAAUAAAUUUAUAAAUUUUUUAAAAAAUUUCUACUUAAACUUAAAUUUAAUAAAAAUAAUUUAUUAUAAUAUUUAAAUAUAAUUUACUAUAAAAUUCUUUAUAAUAUUUAAAUAUAAAUAAUAUGUAUUAAUAUAGUACAAUUAAUAAUUUUAUAAUAAAAAUAAUGUAUUAUAAUAUAGAACAUAUUAUAUUUAUAUAAUUUAGUUUAAUUCAAUUUGUAAUUUUAAUUAAAUUUGAAAUUAAGCGUUGAAAUAGCACUAUUCUAUCAAGAUGAUGGAAUAGUAAAUCUCAAGCUAUUCCGGGAUAACCGGAAAUAGCAAGGUUUGACCGGCAUAAAAUAUCCCGGCAAAAAUUCCGAUUAUCCCGGGAUAAAAUAUCCCAGCAAAAAAUCAUCCCAUUUGGCGGAUUUGGAAGUAUUUGAAAACUAAAUUUCAUAAUUUUUCGGUAUCAUUUACCUAUCAAACUAGUAGUCUAAAAAUAAAUGACUGAAAAUAAAAAUCUCAUAAAAUAUGAUUAGAAAAUACUUUUUUUUGAGAGAAGGGUAGCACGCUACCCGCUUCAUUCAGUAAGUAAAUGAAUUAAGCUACAUGGGUGAGGCAGCAAGGCCUCGGCGUAAGGCGAGUCACAAGCGGAAAAAA
This 1275-nucleotide long non-coding RNA is filed under the name Ananas comosus (pineapple). Its description in RNAcentral is "long non-coding RNA (ACOM_LNC001431)". The record is from RNAcentral. Lineage: Eukaryota; Viridiplantae; Streptophyta; Magnoliopsida; Poales; Bromeliaceae.